AGCGUACACGGUGGAUGCCCUGGCAGUCAGAGGCGAUGAAGGACGUGCUAAUCUGCGAUAAGCGUCGGUAAGGUGAUAUGAACCGUUAUAACCGGCGAUUUCCGAAUGGGGAAACCCAGUGUGAUUCGUCACACUAUCAUUAACUGAAUCCAUAGGUUAAUGAGGCGAACCGGGGGAACUGAAACAUCUAAGUACCCCGAGGAAAAGAAAUCAACCGAGAUUCCCCCAGUAGCGGCGAGCGAACGGGGAGCAGCCCAGAGCCUGAAUCAGUGUGUGUGUUAGUGGAAGCGUCUGGAAAGGCGCGCGAUACAGGGUGACAGCCCCGUACACAAAAAUGCACAUGCUGUGAGCUCGAUGAGUAGGGCGGGACACGUGGUAUCCUGUCUGAAUAUGGGGGGACCAUCCUCCAAGGCUAAAUACUCCUGACUGACCGAUAGUGAACCAGUACCGUGAGGGAAAGGCGAAAAGAACCCCGGCGAGGGGAGUGAAAAAGAACCUGAAACCGUGUACGUACAAGCAGUGGGAGCCUCUUUAUGGGGUGACUGCGUACCUUUUGUAUAAUGGGUCAGCGACUUAUAUUCUGUAGCAAGGUUAACCGAAUAGGGGAGCCGAAGGGAAACCGAGUCUUAACUGGGCGUUAAGUUGCAGGGUAUAGACCCGAAACCCGGUGAUCUAGCCAUGGGCAGGUUGAAGGUUGGGUAACACUAACUGGAGGACCGAACCGACUAAUGUUGAAAAAUUAGCGGAUGACUUGUGGCUGGGGGUGAAAGGCCAAUCAAACCGGGAGAUAGCUGGUUCUCCCCGAAAGCUAUUUAGGUAGCGCCUCGUGAAUUCAUCUCCGGGGGUAGAGCACUGUUUCGGCAAGGGGGUCAUCCCGACUUACCAACCCGAUGCAAACUGCGAAUACCGGAGAAUGUUAUCACGGGAGACACACGGCGGGUGCUAACGUCCGUCGUGAAGAGGGAAACAACCCAGACCGCCAGCUAAGGUCCCAAAGUCAUGGUUAAGUGGGAAACGAUGUGGGAAGGCCCAGACAGCCAGGAUGUUGGCUUAGAAGCAGCCAUCAUUUAAAGAAAGCGUAAUAGCUCACUGGUCGAGUCGGCCUGCGCGGAAGAUGUAACGGGGCUAAACCAUGCACCGAAGCUGCGGCAGCGACGCUUAUGCGUUGUUGGGUAGGGGAGCGUUCUGUAAGCCUGUGAAGGUGUGCUGUGAGGCAUGCUGGAGGUAUCAGAAGUGCGAAUGCUGACAUAAGUAACGAUAAAGCGGGUGAAAAGCCCGCUCGCCGGAAGACCAAGGGUUCCUGUCCAACGUUAAUCGGGGCAGGGUGAGUCGACCCCUAAGGCGAGGCCGAAAGGCGUAGUCGAUGGGAAACAGGUUAAUAUUCCUGUACUUGGUGUUACUGCGAAGGGGGGACGGAGAAGGCUAUGUUGGCCGGGCGACGGUUGUCCCGGUUUAAGCGUGUAGGCUGGUUUUCCAGGCAAAUCCGGAAAAUCAAGGCUGAGGCGUGAUGACGAGGCACUACGGUGCUGAAGCAACAAAUGCCCUGCUUCCAGGAAAAGCCUCUAAGCAUCAGGUAACAUCAAAUCGUACCCCAAACCGACACAGGUGGUCAGGUAGAGAAUACCAAGGCGCUUGAGAGAACUCGGGUGAAGGAACUAGGCAAAAUGGUGCCGUAACUUCGGGAGAAGGCACGCUGAUAUGUAGGUGAGGUCCCUCGCGGAUGGAGCUGAAAUCAGUCGAAGAUACCAGCUGGCUGCAACUGUUUAUUAAAAACACAGCACUGUGCAAACACGAAAGUGGACGUAUACGGUGUGACGCCUGCCCGGUGCCGGAAGGUUAAUUGAUGGGGUUAGCGGUAACGCGAAGCUCUUGAUCGAAGCCCCGGUAAACGGCGGCCGUAACUAUAACGGUCCUAAGGUAGCGAAAUUCCUUGUCGGGUAAGUUCCGACCUGCACGAAUGGCGUAAUGAUGGCCAGGCUGUCUCCACCCGAGACUCAGUGAAAUUGAACUCGCUGUGAAGAUGCAGUGUACCCGCGGCAAGACGGAAAGACCCCGUGAACCUUUACUAUAGCUUGACACUGAACAUUGAGCCUUGAUGUGUAGGAUAGGUGGGAGGCUUUGAAGUGUGGACGCCAGUCUGCAUGGAGCCGACCUUGAAAUACCACCCUUUAAUGUUUGAUGUUCUAACGUUGACCCGUAAUCCGGGUUGCGGACAGUGUCUGGUGGGUAGUUUGACUGGGGCGGUCUCCUCCUAAAGAGUAACGGAGGAGCACGAAGGUUGGCUAAUCCUGGUCGGACAUCAGGAGGUUAGUGCAAUGGCAUAAGCCAGCUUGACUGCGAGCGUGACGGCGCGAGCAGGUGCGAAAGCAGGUCAUAGUGAUCCGGUGGUUCUGAAUGGAAGGGCCAUCGCUCAACGGAUAAAAGGUACUCCGGGGAUAACAGGCUGAUACCGCCCAAGAGUUCAUAUCGACGGCGGUGUUUGGCACCUCGAUGUCGGCUCAUCACAUCCUGGGGCUGAAGUAGGUCCCAAGGGUAUGGCUGUUCGCCAUUUAAAGUGGUACGCGAGCUGGGUUUAGAACGUCGUGAGACAGUUCGGUCCCUAUCUGCCGUGGGCGCUGGAGAACUGAGGGGGGCUGCUCCUAGUACGAGAGGACCGGAGUGGACGCAUCACUGGUGUUCGGGUUGUCAUGCCAAUGGCACUGCCCGGUAGCUAAAUGCGGAAGAGAUAAGUGCUGAAAGCAUCUAAGCACGAAACUUGCCCCGAGAUGAGUUCUCCCUGACUCCUUGA
Molecule: ribosomal RNA, 2788 nt
Filed under: Escherichia coli
Lineage: Bacteria; Pseudomonadati; Pseudomonadota; Gammaproteobacteria; Enterobacterales; Enterobacteriaceae
Description: bacterial LSU rRNA
Rfam family: Bacterial large subunit ribosomal RNA
Source: RNAcentral